Molecule: ribosomal RNA, 468 nt
Filed under: uncultured bacterium
Lineage: Bacteria
Description: partial 16S ribosomal RNA
Rfam family: Bacterial small subunit ribosomal RNA
Source: RNAcentral
GACGAACGCUGGCGGCGUGCUUAACACAUGCAAGUCGAACGGAAAGGCCCUGCUUUUGUGAGGUGCUCGAGUGGCGAACGGGUGAGUAACACGUGAGUAACCUGCCCUUGACUUUGGGAUAACUUCAGGAAACUGGGGCUAAUACCGGAUAGGAGCUCCUGCUGCAUGGUGGGGGUUGGAAGGUUUCGGCGGUUGGGGAUGGACUCGCGGCUUAUCAGCUUGUUGGUGGGGUAGUGGCUUACCAAGGCUUUGACGGGUAGCCGGCCUGAGAGGGUGACCGGCCACAUUGGGACUGAGAUACGGCCCAGACUCCUACGGGAGGCAGCAGUGGGGAAUAUUGCACAAUGGGCGGAAGCCUGAUGCAGCAACGCCGCGUGCGGGAUGACGGCCUUCGGGUUGUAAACCGCUUUCGCCUGUGACGAAGCGUGAGUGACGGUAAUGGGUAAAGAAGCACCGGCUAACUACGUG